This 460-nucleotide ribosomal RNA is filed under the name uncultured bacterium. RNAcentral's name for it is "partial 16S ribosomal RNA". It matches the Rfam family "Bacterial small subunit ribosomal RNA", at positions 338 to 795 of the family's 1533-position model. The record is from RNAcentral.
CCUACGGGUGGCAGCAGUGAGGAAUAUUGGUCAAUGGGCUUACGCCUGAACCAGCCAAGUCGCGUGAGGGAAGACUGCCCUAUGGGUUGUAAACCUCUUUUGUCAGGGAGCAACGCCGGCUACGUGUAGCCGGACUGAGAGUACCUGAAGAAAAAGCAUCGGCUAACUCCGUGCCAGCAGCCGCGGUAAUACGGAGGAUGCGAGCGUUAUCCGGAUUUAUUGGGUUUAAAGGGUGCGUAGGCGGAAUGCCAAGUCAGCGGUAAAAUCGCGGGGCUCAACCUCGCUCCGCCGUUGAAACUGGGGGCCGUGAGUGCGGCGGAGGCAUGCGGAAUGUGCGGUGUAGCGGUGAAAUGCAUAGAUAUCGCGCAGAACCCCGAUUGCGAAGGCAGCGUGCCGUGCCGCCACUGACGCUGAGGCACGAAAGCGCGGGGAUCGAACAGGAUUAGAUACCCUUGUAGUC